Molecule: unclassified non-coding RNA, 628 nt
Filed under: Zea mays
Lineage: Eukaryota; Viridiplantae; Streptophyta; Magnoliopsida; Poales; Poaceae
Description: misc RNA Zm00001eb003500
Source: RNAcentral
CGCAGCGGGAGGCGAGCGCGCGCGCGGCGCGGAGGAGGAGCAGGAGUGCGGCGAGCGCGAGCAGCGCGGCGUGGGCGGUGGCGGCAACGGCCUCCGGGAGCGGGAGGGAGGGGAAGGAGGGCGGCAUUGGGAGGCGGUGGGGAUCAGUGAGGGAGCGGGGAGGGGUUUAAAAGGCAUUGGGGUUGGGCUCGCCACGGCAGGCACUGGGGCAGGGAGUGCGGCCGCGGGCGAGAGAGAGGGAAAAAGGAAGAGCUUUGGGCGGCGGAUUACGGCAUCGGCGGAUGGCAACAAAGGAGGCGUUUUGGCGGUAGCAGCAGGCGGGCGGGCAGAGACGCUCGCCUGCGCCUGGUUCGAGGAGGGGAGAGAGAGGCUCGCCUGGGAUGGGAUUCCGGCUAAUGCAGCCCGGGUCCGGGCGGGUUACGUCUCUGAUCCCCUCACCAAACUCUCUCCUUGGUUCCUGCGUCCUUCUCGAGUCACCUCCGCGCGGCCGGCCGUGGGGGCGGCGGCGCGGGUGUGUGUGUGGUAGCAGGUGGCGUGCGGAGGGAGGUUUCGGUUUCGGCUUCGGCUUUUGGGGGAUGGAUCGGCGGGUGGGGGGUGUGGUGGGGGGAGAGGAAGACGAUGCGGUGAG